Long non-coding RNA from Daucus carota subsp. sativus, 578 nucleotides. RefSeq lists it as uncharacterized. The transcript has 2 exons. Lineage: Eukaryota; Viridiplantae; Streptophyta; Magnoliopsida; Apiales; Apiaceae. The record is from RefSeq and is a predicted model, not a curated record.
GUUGUGAGCGCAAACUGCCAGUCAAGUGUUAAAUAUUAUCAAGUAUAUUUAUUUAUAAAUUUGCAAUUAAUAAAUCUUUCAUAAUAAUAUGAUCACAUAGUUACGAAUUUCGAUUAAUAAACUGGAAUUUUAUCAUGUAGAUGGGGCUUCAGCAUCAACAGGGAUGCAUUGAACAUAUAUCUCCAGGAAUGGUUCUGGCAUUGAUGAGUUGGGAAUGGUUCUGGCAUUGAUGAGUUGGGCACUUUAGGCUGUUAUAACAUGUGUCUGCAUUAGAUUCAUUAUUUGUGGGUUGCUGAUCAUGCAUGACGUUAUAAUUGAGGUGAAGUAGAUCAUUGCAUAUUGCAGUAGAUGAAUCUUGACAGCCAACGAUGGAGUAUCAUUGGCCUUUUCCGCAAUAAUGUAUUUUCUCUUAUUCCUAACAAGUAAUAAUUCUUACUAAACAAUAUAACACAUUGUAAAAUAUAGAAGUAUUAGCUUCUGAACACUUUGUAAGUUGACAUAUAAGGAAGAAGAUGAUUUUCGAAUAUAUCUUUGUACUGUAAAUCUUAUUCUAGUAAUGAAAAAAAUUGUUUUAUUUA